GCCCUUAGAGUUUGAUCAUGGCUCAGAUUGAACGCUGGCGGCAUGCCUAACACAUGCAAGUCGAGCGGCAGCAGGUCCUUCGGGACGCUGGCGAGCGGCGGACGGGUGAGUAACACGUGGGAAUCUACCUUUCGGUGGGGGAUAGCCCGAGGAAACUCGGAUUAAUACCGCAUACGCCCUUCGGGGCAAAGCAGGCCUCUGAUUUAAGCUUGCGCCGAUAGAUGAGCCCGCGCCCGAUUAGCUAGUUGGUGGGGUAAAGGCCUACCAAGGCGACGAUCGGUAGCUGGUCUGAGAGGACGAUCAGCCACACCGGAACUGAGACACGGUCCGGACUCCUACGGGAGGCAGCAGUGGGGAAUAUUGGACAAUGGGCGAAAGCCUGAUCCAGCAAUGCCGCGUGGGUGAAGAAGGCUUGCGGGUUGUAAAGCCCUUUCAGCAGGGAGGAAAAGCGUACGGUUAAUACCUGUGCGUCUUGACGUUACCUGCAGAAGAAGCACCGGCUAACUCCGUGCCAGCAGCCGCGGUAAUACGGAGGGUGCAAGCGUUAAUCGGAAUUACUGGGCGUAAAGCGCGCGUAGGUGGUCGGAUAAGUCGGAUGUGAAAGCCCCGGGCUCAACCUGGGAAUUGCAUUCGAUACUGUCUGACUAGAGUCUGGUAGAGGGUGGCGGAAUUCCCGGUGUAGCGGUGAAAUGCGUA
This 696-nucleotide ribosomal RNA is filed under the name uncultured Gammaproteobacteria bacterium. Its description in RNAcentral is "bacterial SSU rRNA". It matches the Rfam family "Bacterial small subunit ribosomal RNA", at positions 1 to 692 of the family's 1533-position model. The record is from RNAcentral. Lineage: Bacteria; Pseudomonadati; Pseudomonadota; Gammaproteobacteria.